This 311-nucleotide long non-coding RNA is filed under the name Androctonus crassicauda. Lineage: Eukaryota; Metazoa; Arthropoda; Arachnida; Scorpiones; Buthidae. The record is from RNAcentral.
GCUGGAAUCGCUCACAACACACAUAUAUGCCGCCACAUUAUAAUUGGUAUUCACAACCACUACUAAUUGAUCAUCCAAAUUACAGGUUAAGACCGACACCAAGAUUUAAUGCGCUGAGGGAUUAUGGACAACACACUAGAACUAACAAUCAAAGCCGAACAUCUCCAUUUAUUAUAAUAUCAGGAAUAGCACAACGGAAAGAAGGGAGAAGUAAUUUUAAAAAUAAUAAUAAUAAUAUAAAUUACAAAAAUGAAUUGUUAACAAUGAUAAAACAGAUUUGUAGCCGACUUGAUAGACUCGAAUGUAAAGUA